RNAcentral lists this ribosomal RNA (451 nucleotides) under uncultured Rhizobium sp. Its description in RNAcentral is "bacterial SSU rRNA". It matches the Rfam family "Bacterial small subunit ribosomal RNA", at positions 9 to 507 of the family's 1533-position model. Lineage: Bacteria; Pseudomonadati; Pseudomonadota; Alphaproteobacteria; Hyphomicrobiales; Rhizobiaceae. The record is from RNAcentral.
GACGUUUGAUCCUAGGCUCAGAACGACGCUGGCGGCAGGCUUAACACAUGCAAGUCGAACGCCCUUACGGGGAUGGCAGACGGGUGAGUAACGCGUGGGAACAUACCCUUUCCUGCGGAAUAGCUCCGGGAAACUGGAAUUAAUACCGCAUACGCCCUACGGGGGAAAGAGUUUAUCGGGGAAGGAUUGGCCCGCGUUGGAUUAGCUAGUUGGUGGGGUAAAGGCCUACCAAGGCGACGAUCCAUAGCUGGUCUGAGAGGAUGAUCAGCCACAUUGGGACUGAGACACGGCCCAAACGUCCUACGGGAGGCAGCAGUGGGGAAUAUUGGACAAUGGGCGCAAGCCUGAUCCAGCCAUGCCGCGUGAGUGAUGAAGGCCUUAGGGUUGUAAAGCUCUUUCACCGAUGAAGAUAAUGACGGUAGUCGGAGAAGAAGCCCCGGCUAACUUCGUG